Calidris pugnax (ruff) is the source of this 215-nucleotide long non-coding RNA. RefSeq lists it as uncharacterized. Lineage: Eukaryota; Metazoa; Chordata; Aves; Charadriiformes; Scolopacidae. The transcript has 3 exons. The record is from RefSeq and is a predicted model, not a curated record.
CAGGUCCCCUGGGACCACCGGGGCUCCCAGGGCUGCCCGGGGACCCUGGAGAUCAGGGUCCUGCGGGACGGCCGGGGCUGCCGGGAGCUGCCGGGAUCCGUGGCCCAGCAGGGACCAUGAUCAUGUUGCCGUUCCAGUUCGGUGGAGACUCCCUCAAAGGUCCCACUGUCUCUUUCCAAGAAGCCCAAGCCCAAGCCAUCCUGCAGCAGGCAAAG